AGAGUUUGAUCAUGGCUCAGAAUCAACGCUGGCGGCGUGCCUAACACAUGCAAGUCGAACGAGAAAGUGGAGCAAUCCAUGAGUAGAGUGGCGCACGGGUGAGUAACACGUGACUAACCUACCCUUGAGUGGGGGAUAACCUGGGGAAACCUUGGCUAAUACCGCAUAACACCUACGGGUCAAAGGAGCAAUUCGCUUAAGGAGGGGGUCGCGGCAGAUUAGUUAGUUGGCGGGGUAAUGGCCCACCAAGACGGUGAUCUGUAUCCGGCCUGAGAGGGCGCACGGACACACUGGAACUGAAACACGGUCCAGACUCCUACGGGAGGCAGCAGUGGGGAAUUUUGCGCAAUGGGGGAAACCCUGACGCAGCAACGCCGCGUGGAGGAUGAAGUCCCUUGGGACGUAAACUCCUUUCGACCGGGACGAUUAUGACGGUACCGGAAGAAGAAGCCCCGGCUAACUUCGUGCCAGCAGCCGCGGUAAUACGAGGGGGGCGAGCGUUGUUCGGAAUUAUUGGGCGUAAAGGGUGCGUAGGCGGUUCGGUAAGUUUCGUGUGAAAUCUUCGGGCUCAACUCGAAGCCUGCACGAAAUACUGCCGGGCUUGAGUGUGGGAGAGGUGAGUGGAAUUUCCGGUGUAGCGGUGAAAUGCGUAGAUAUCGGAAGGAACACCUGUGGCGAAAGCGGCUCACUGGACCACAACUGACGCUGAUGCACGAAAGCUAGGGGAGCAAACAGGAUUAGAUACCCCAGUAGUCC
Molecule: ribosomal RNA, 756 nt
Filed under: uncultured bacterium
Lineage: Bacteria
Description: bacterial SSU rRNA
Rfam family: Bacterial small subunit ribosomal RNA
Source: RNAcentral